RNAcentral lists this long non-coding RNA (308 nucleotides) under Spirodela polyrhiza (greater duckweed). RNAcentral's name for it is "long non-coding RNA (SPOL_LNC002072)". The record is from RNAcentral. Lineage: Eukaryota; Viridiplantae; Streptophyta; Magnoliopsida; Alismatales; Araceae.
GGUGCUUUAGUCUUGGCUGACCGGGGAAUCUGUUUAAUUGAUGAGUUUGACAAGAUGAAUGAUCAAGAUAGGUACGCGAGGAUCUUCCUUCUUCAUUGAUCCUUUCUUUAUGCACUGCAUCCCGUGGAUCGUGAACUGUCCUGGAUUGCAGGGUGAGUAUUCACGAAGCCAUGGAACAACAAAGUAUCAGUAUAUCAAAGGCUGGGAUAGUCACCUCGCUCCAGGCCCGGUGUAGUGUUAUUGCUGCUGCCAAUCCGAUUGGGGGAAGGUAUGAAAUUAAAUAAUAUAUCGUCUAACCUACAUUGGCG